ACCCACAAAGAGUAAUCUGCCAUCUCAGCCCCAGUUCUGCUCUGUCGCUUUGUGAUUUGAGUCGCCUCAGAUAUUUAAGGCCACGCGUUAGAAAGACAAUAGCAUUUUAUAACCAGAAGACACAUUUUCAGGUUAUGUUUUACAAAUCAGAUUGAAAUGAGAAAAAAACACCCUAAAUGUUAAAUUCUCCAAAUAAAAUGUCUGUUUAGCUGAGGGGCUUAACAGCAGCAAGCUCUGGAGGAUCACUUUCUUUAAAUCAAUUAUGAUCGAUACAAGCCAGAUGGCCAGGCUGUCACACAGGGUAGAGCUGUCGGGAUGGUAAGGUCACUGCAUCUGUCAAUGGGAAGCUGCUGCUAAGGUGUCACAAAGGGAACUUCUGUGCCCACGGCCCAUCUACUGCAGGACAGCAUCAGGGACCAAGGCGUGCAGUGAAGGAACGAGAUCAGGUUACCACAUCCGACAGUGUUUAUCAAAUUGUCCUUUGCCACAUUUAGAGAAAGAAAUUAUCCAGCACUGGAUAAAAGAAGGAAAAUGUGCUCAAUGAACUGUAUGAAGAGCUCAGUGAUCAGAUAAAAGAACACCUGGGCUUCCAGUAGAAGAUAAAAUUCAUGGUAACUUACACAGUUUUCCUUCUCUCCUGCUGUUCUUGGUAUCCUAAUGGGAGCAUCAGGCAUUGCAGUAAGAACUGGAAGAAUUAGAACAACUAUAGAACAUUCUAAUAGUCUCAGAGCUGCUACACAUGGCUUCUUCUGACCCAUCCUGAUGCUGGCUAACAACCAGGCUAUCAAGCAGCAUCUUUGGAAGCCAAACAAUGCACUAAAACUUGGAUUUUGGUUGGAAGCUCUGAUAUUUUUCUUUACUUUUCUAUUAGACGCUUUUCCAUUGGGUUGCAAGUUUUGCAACUUGACUUGUGAAAUACAGAAAUUAUAUUAAAAAGUCAAUACAGUUGUUUCAGUUUGCUUGACUACUACCCAUACUGCUAUGAAUGCUCCCAA
Long non-coding RNA from Numida meleagris (helmeted guineafowl), 995 nucleotides. RefSeq lists it as uncharacterized. The record is from RefSeq and is a predicted model, not a curated record. Lineage: Eukaryota; Metazoa; Chordata; Aves; Galliformes; Numididae. The transcript has 4 exons.